UACGUAGGUGGCAAGCGUUGUCCGGAUUUACUGGGCGUAAAGAGCGCGCAGGCGGUCGUUCAAGUCGCGUGUGAAAGCCCCCGGCUCAACUGGGGAGGGUCACGCGAUACUGAUCGACUCGAAGGCAGGAGAGGGUAGUGGAAUUCCCGAUGUAGUGGUGAAAUGCGUAGAUAUCGGGAGGAACACCAGUGGCGAAGGCGACUACCUGGCCUGUUUCUUGACGCUGAGGCGCGAAAGCUAGGGGAGCAAACGGG
Molecule: ribosomal RNA, 254 nt
Filed under: uncultured bacterium
Lineage: Bacteria
Description: partial 16S ribosomal RNA
Rfam family: Bacterial small subunit ribosomal RNA
Source: RNAcentral